GAUGAAGAACGCAGCGAAUUGCGAUAAGUAAUGUGAAUUGCAGAUUUUCAGUGAAUCAUCGAAUCUUUGAACGCACAUUGCGCCCGCCAGUAUUCUGGCGGGCAUGCCUGUCUGAGCGUCAUUUCAACCCUCAUGCCCCUAGGGCGUGGUGUUGGGGAUCGGCCAAAGCCCGCGAGGGACGGCCGGCCCCUAAAUCUAGUGGCGGACCCGUCGUGGCCUCCUCUGCGAAGUAGUGAUAUUCCGCAUCGGAGAGCGACGAGCCCCUGCCGUUAAACCCCCAACUUUCCAAGGUUGACCUCAGAUCAGGUAGGAAUACCCGCUGAACUUAAGCAUAUCAAUAAGCGGAGGA
This 349-nucleotide unclassified non-coding RNA is filed under the name soil metagenome. RNAcentral's name for it is "partial contains 5.8S ribosomal RNA, internal transcribed spacer 2, and large subunit ribosomal RNA". The stretch from base 1 to 121 matches the Rfam family "5.8S ribosomal RNA", at positions 35 to 154 of the family's 154-position model. The record is from RNAcentral.